RNAcentral lists this ribosomal RNA (717 nucleotides) under Triticum aestivum (bread wheat). RNAcentral's name for it is "partial small subunit ribosomal RNA". The record is from RNAcentral. Lineage: Eukaryota; Viridiplantae; Streptophyta; Magnoliopsida; Poales; Poaceae.
AUGGCGCUCGCCGCUCGCCUCGUAUCCCGCUCCCGCCAGUUAUAUUCUGUCCAAGCUGCUUUGGCCAAUGGAGGUCUCACUCAAGUCCGCUCAUUUGCCAAGGAGGCAGCUCCUGUCAGCGGAGAUGACCUAUUGAAGGGCAUCUUUUUUGAGGUGAAGAAAAAGUUUGAGACCGCACUUGGGGUCCUUAAGAAGGAGAAGAUCACGAUUGACCCAGAUGACCAAACAGCAGUUGCUAACUAUGCCCAAGUCAUGAGGACUGUAAGAGAAAAGGCAGAUCUUCUUUCUGAUUCUCAGAGAAUUAAAUAUACUAUUGAGACUUUCACGAAGGGCAUCCCUGAUGCAAGGACGUACUUGGAUACCCUUCAGCAGCUCAGGAAAAAGAGUGGUCUCAUAGAUGAUAUGGGUAUUGAGGAUAUGAUGAUGGAAGCUCUCGAGAAAGUUGAGAAGGACAUUAAGAAACCUCUUCUGAGGAGUGACAAGAAGAACAUGGGUCUCCUCUUGGCAGAGUUUGACAAGAUUAACAAAAAGCUUGGCAUUCGGAAGGAGGAUCUUCCCAAGAUUGAGGAAAAUCUUGAAAUGGAACUUGCCAAAGCUGAGCUGACGGAACUUAAGAAGGAAGUUGUUGAAGCAAUGGAGGGCCAACUAAAGAGGGAGGAGUUUAAAGAUGAGGCGAUGCCUGACGUCAGGAAGUUGGACAUUAGAAACUUCCUCUAG